Molecule: RNA transcript, 3754 nt
Organism: Panicum hallii
Lineage: Eukaryota; Viridiplantae; Streptophyta; Magnoliopsida; Poales; Poaceae
Gene name: pentatricopeptide repeat-containing protein At1g09900-like
Exons: 2
Source: RefSeq, a predicted model, not a curated record
CCCUCAUCCACUCGCCCGUUGUUGUCACCGCGCGCGCAGCCGCUGAAAAUGAGACACCCACCUAUCGCCGCCGGCACCACCUGCUCGCCGUCUCAUCCCGCCGCUGCCGUCUCUCCGCACCCCUUCCCUCCGACGAACCACAAGCCUCAGCGCACCCGCAUCCGCCUGGCCGCUGCGGCAGGCACCUCCAGGUGGGUCAACCCGCGCGCACCUGCGCCCCCGCCCCGGCGCGGCGCGGGCGGGGGCGGGGCAAACCAGCGGCUGAACCACCUCGUCCGCCUCGGGGACCUCGACGCCGCGCUCCUCCUCGUGGAGUCCAUGCGGGACCCCGACCGCCCCGCCGUGGUCCCCUGCACCCUCCUCAUCAAGAAGCUCUGCGCCGCGGGCCGCCUCGACGACGCCGAGCGCGUGCUCGGGGCGUCCGAGCGCGCGGGCACCGCCGACGCCGUCGCGCGCAACACCCUCGUCGCGGGGUACUGCCGCGCGGGGAGGCGUCUCGCCGACGCGGAGCGGAUGCUGUCCUCCCUCGCGGCGUCCGGCGCCGCCGACGUCGUCACCUACAACACGCUCGUCGCGGGUUACUGCCGCGAGGGCCGCCUCGGCGACGCGCGGCGCCUCGUCGCCGGCAUGCCGCUCGCCCCCAACUCGUACACCAACAGCACCCUGCUCAAGGGUCUGUGCAGCGCCAAGGAGUGGGACGACGCCGAGGAGCUCGUCGCCGAGAUGAUCCGGAGCGGGUGCCCCCCAAAUCAUCUCACGUUUGGUAUGGUGAUCCAUUCCUUAUGCCAGAACGGAUUGGUCGACCGUGCAAUGGGAGUUCUUGAUCAGAUGUCCGAGUGCGGGUGCACGCGGAGCGUGAUUGUUUACAAUGAAAUCAUCAGUUGCCUUGCGGAGCUGGGGCGCGUGGAGGAGGCUCUUGAUUUAUUCAACCGCAUGCCGUGCAAGCCAGACAUCUUUAGUUACAACGCCGCGGUAAAGGGUUUGUGCAGAGGUGAGCGUUGGGAGGAUGCUGGAAAGCUUAUUACUGAGAUGGUUAGGAAGGAUUGCCCCCCAGAUGAAGUGACAUUCAACACAGUGAUCAGUUACUUGUGCCACAGAGGGUUGGUUGAUUGUGCAAUGGAAGUUGUCGAGAAGAUGCCCGAGUAUGGAUGUAAGCCUGAUAAUUUUACUUACAGUGCCCUCGUUAAUGCCUUUUCUGAACAUGGGUGGGUAGAUGAUGCUCUUGAGUUACUAAGAAGCAUACCAUGGAGGCCUAACACUGUUUGCUACCGAUCUGUUCUGAAGGGACUGUGCAGAGCUGAUCGAUGGGAGGAUGUCGGGAAGCUUGUCGCUGAGAUGAUUAGAAACAACCUGACCAUUGAUGAAGUCACAUUUGGGUUGAUCAUUGACUGUUUGUGCCAAAAAGGACUAGUUGGUUAUGGCGUUGAAGUUCUUGAGGAAAUGUCAAACUACGGAUGCUCACCUGACAUUAUCAUGUAUAAUUCUCUCAUCAAUGGCUUUGUUGAAUAUGGGAGUGUGGAUGAUGCUCUCAAGCUAUUCAAAAGCAUGCCAUGCAAACGAAAUGUUGUUACCUAUAAUUAUAUGUUGAAGGGUUUGUGUAGAGCUAAUCAGUGGGAGGAUGCUGGGAAGCUUGUAGCUGAGAUGGGUAACGAUGAGUGUCUCCCAAAUGAAGUAACAUUCAGUACCCUAAUCAGCUACUUGUGCCAAAAAGGGUUGGUUGAGUGUGCAAUUGAAGUUUUUGAGAAAAUGCCAAAGUACAAUUGUUUGCCUAAUGUUAUCAUCUAUAACACCCUUAUCAAUGGCCUUUCUGAACAAGACUGUGUAGAUGAUGCUUUGAAGUUACUAAACAACAUGCCAAGCAAGGCUGACACCAUUUGUUAUAGUUCUGCAUUGAAGGGUUUGUGUAGGGCUGAGCGAUGGGAGGAUGCAGGAGAACUUAUACUUGAGAUGAUUCGAAAGAACUGCCCCCCAGAUGAAGUCACGUUCAGUAUACUGAUCAAUAACUUGUGUCACAAAGGGUUUGUCGAGUAUGCAAUUGAAAUUUCGGAGCUAAUGCAUAAGUAUAAAUGCAAGCCUAAUAUUGUCAUUUACAGUUCUCUCAUCAACGGAUUCUCUGAACAAAAUCGUGUGGAAGAAGCUCUCAAGUUACUAAGAAGCAUGCCAUGUGAGCCUGACACUAUUUGCUACAGCGCUGCACUGAAGGGUUUGUGUAGAGCAAAGCGAUGGGAGGAUGCCAGGGAGCUUAUAGCUGAGAUGUUUAGAAAGCAGUGCCCACCAGAUGAAGCAACAUUCAGUAUGCUCAUUGGUUUAUUGUGCCAAAAUGGGCUGGUUGAAUUGGUAACUGAAGUUUUUGAGCAAAUGUCGGAGUAUGGAUGUAGCCCUAAUAGCAUGAUACGCCAUUCCCUUGUUAACAGCUAUUCUGAGCAAGGAUGUGCGGAUGAAGCACUCAAGCUAUCGGGCAGUAUGGCAGGAAAGCCGCCAAUCUCUGUUGUACUGCAUUGAAGAGCUUUGAGUUGUGAGAAUGCUAAGGAGCUAAAAUGAUUAGGCUGAAGAUGAUCCCAGAUGAUAAGAUGAAUUGACAUCGAUCCCGGAUUAUAAGAUGAAUUGACAUCUAAUACUUAUUAAUUACUUGUGCCAGAAGAAAGUUUGGUUGAAUUCUUGAUUAAUGCGAUGGAUGAUGUCAUCUGCUCAUCAUCAGCUUUUUGGAGAUAAGCUGCAUGAAUGAUUUUUUUGGGAAUGGAAAUAUAACAGGUAAUUGAGAUGGGUGUUUCUGGUAAUUAUUUGGCUGUCAUCAAACAGAAGAAAGAACUAAAAUUUAGUUAUACAAUAGGGUUAUCUAUCUAUCUAUCUAUCCACAAGUGAGAUGGAGACUAUCGCUUGGAGACCUGAAGCGUUUCUUUUUAAUCCGCAAGGACUCUCUGUUGCAUUGGCUUCCACUCCGUAGCAGCCGAGCCAGGCCGCAAAGAAAGAUUUGAGUUAUGCUGCGGUGUGAAGAAAAAGAAGCACAGAAUUCAGUACUGAGCCAGACCAUCAGAACCCUCUUCACAAAAAGGAAAAAAAAAAAGAUCAUCAGAACUCUGCCACAAACCGACAGACUAACGGCGCGGGCGAAGAAAAUAUCUGUAGCUGCAAAAGGUAGCAUUAGUAGGAAUCUGACGAUGCUUCAGUUGAAUGAAUCCAGCGGCCUGCUGACGGGUGCGCUGACGUCAGGGCUGGUCUGUUGGUCGUCCCAUGGCGUGGAGGGCAGCCGCACCGCCCGUUCUCUCUGCAUCAACCGCGACGUCCGUGAAGUUGCGGUCAGUCAGAACAAGCGAUUCGGUGUCGCCGGGCGUGACGGCAUCUCCACUGUAGAAAUUCUGCUCCAGGCUGGUUCCAUUGGCGAAACGACGUCUUCUUCCAUUCGUCCAACGUCCCCGUCGCGGGGUGGACGAACAAAACGAAGCCAUGCCGGCACGGAUGCGUGGUCGCUUCACUGGUUGGAGUAAAGCGUGGUGCAAGGAAUCGUGUAGCAGAGGUCAGGGAGUGAGUCGAGGACACAUGCUACUACCGUUCUGCUCCCUCCAUUCUAAACUAUAUUUAUAAAUUUUAAUAUGCAUCUAGAUAUAUAUUUUAAAUAUAAAUAUGCGAACUAUGAAGAAUCCAAAAGCUUAGUUUCUUUAUUAGUUUCUAGUUACACGUCUGUUUCAGUUUUCCGCUGGAUUUUAUACUGUUCCUGCCAAGAGCAAUAAAAAAACCUUUCCUUUUCCACUUCUUU